Molecule: ribosomal RNA, 253 nt
Filed under: uncultured bacterium
Lineage: Bacteria
Description: partial 16S ribosomal RNA
Rfam family: Bacterial small subunit ribosomal RNA
Source: RNAcentral
UACGGGGGGAGCAAGCGUUGUUCGGAUUUACUGGGCGUAAAGGGCGCGUAGGCGGCGCAACAAGUCAGUUGUGAAAUCUCUGGGCUUAACCCAGAGCGGUCAACUGAUACUGUCGUGCUAGAGUGCGGAAGGGGCAACUGGAAUUCUCGGUGUAGCGGUGAAAUGCGUAGAUAUCGAGAGGAACACCUGCGGCGAAGGCGGGUUGCUGGGCCGACACUGACGCUGAGGCGCGAAAGCUAGGGGAGCAAACGGG